RNAcentral lists this long non-coding RNA (941 nucleotides) under Strongylocentrotus purpuratus (purple sea urchin). RNAcentral's name for it is "uncharacterized LOC115920989". The record is from RNAcentral. Lineage: Eukaryota; Metazoa; Echinodermata; Echinoidea; Camarodonta; Strongylocentrotidae.
UGCCUUAUGUGACACACACACAAGACAGCCAUUCCUAUCCUGAACAGCUACAGGAGCCAGAGCAGAGAGACAAAAUCUUGUUAUUACUUUGUUUUCCCCUGCUAUUCUUCAAUAUGGGCAUCUUUUGACAUCUUUUGCCGAACAGUGGAUUCAAAGCAUAUUGUGGACACAGUAGGCCUAUAUUGACGUGAGACCAUGCAGAAAAUGCUACUUUCUCUCAACCUCCUGGAUCAGCAUUCAGCAGCCUCGUGACACAGUUGAAGCCAUUAUCGAAUUCUUUGCGUGUAUGUACCCUGGAUCAAGCAGCACUUGCAUUAUACAGGAGAUUCCACCCAAAAUCUAAACCAUGAGUCCAAGCUAAAGAGGAAUAUUUCCAAAAUGAGGUCUACACACACACACAGGUUACUUUCCCCUUCAUUAUAGAGAUAAAGAGAGAGAGAGAUGGGGGGAUGAGUUAUAGCCACGAACCUGAAUAGCUUAGAUGUAGAACUGAGAUGCCCAUCCAUGUCACUUGCCAUUUUGAUGAAUUACAGGGUUUACAAACAUACAUAUUAACCCUUUGGGUAAAAGAUCUCGGUAUUUGCGUAAAUUUGUUAUUACUAUUUAUGAAGUAGACCUGUUUCAUAAUGCUAUGUAGUAGAUCAGUCUCAUACUCGACCCCACCCCCUUCAUAUCACAAUGUCAAUUCCUAAAACCUGUGGCUAAUUAUAUAAGUUGGUAAUAGAGAAAAAUUGAAUGAGGUAGAUGCAAUACAAAUUGAUUCCAAUCUUAAGCACUUAAGACUUUAUUCAGGUAUGGCACGUGAACCGCCCAAAAAAUUCCAAAAAUGCUGCAGUUUUGUUUUAUGUCUAAAGUGAACGGUAACAAAGGACCUACAUGUUUUUGUAUAUUUUGGACUGCGCAUAUUCAGUGAUCUCUGUAUUAUAAUAUAUAGAAAUGUA